AUGGUCAUGGGAGCCAGCGGCUCCAAGCUCGAGAAGGCUCUCGGCGACCAGUUCCCUGAAGGCGAGCGCUACUUCGGACUCGAGAACUUCGGCAACACCUGCUACUGCAACAGUGUACUCCAGGCACUUUAUUUUUGCACUCCAUUCAGGGAGCAGCUACUGGAAUAUUAUAUGAAUAAUAAAAAUCCUGGAGAUGCAGAGGAAAAUCUUUUGACUUGUUUGGCGGAUCUUUUCAUGCAGGUAAGCCAAUCAAAGAAAAAGACAGGCGUUAUUGCUCCAAAACGUUUUGUCCAAAGAGUGAAGAAACAAAAUGAAUUAUUUCGCAGCUACAUGCACCAGGAUGCUCAUGAGUUCUUAAAUUUUCUGUUGAAUGAGCUUGUUGAUAUUCUGGAGAAAGAGUCCAGUGCUGCGAAGGACUCCCCCCAAUCAUCAUCUCCUGAAAAAGUUCCAAAUGGGGCAGUUCAACCUUUGGCCAAUGGAGUUAAAAAAGAACCACCUGUUACCUUGGUCCAUAAGAAUUUCCAGGGCAUACUGACCAAUGAAACCAAAUGCUUAAGAUGUGAGACAGUAACUGCAAGGGACGAAACUUUUUUUGAUCUGAGUGUUGACAUUGAGCAGAAUAGUUCCAUUACAAGCUGCCUGAAAAAUUUCAGCUCCACUGAGACUUUAAAUGCUGAGGACAAAUUCUUCUGUGACAAAUGUUGCAGUUUGCAAGAAGCACAGAAGAGAAUGAAGAUCAAGAAGGCUCCCCAUAUAUUGGUGAUCCACCUAAAACGCUUUAAGUACAUUGAGCAGCUUGGGCGGUAUAAGAAGCUUUCGUAUCGGGUUGUCUUCCCCAUGGAGCUGAAGAUCAGCAGUACGUCUGAUGACGUGGAUACUGAAUACUCUCUCUUUGCUGUGGUGGUCCAUGUUGGAAGCGGCCCCAACCAUGGCCAUUAUGUAAGCCUCGUAAAAAGCCACAACCACUGGUUGUUCUUCGAUGAUGAAAACGUGGAGAUGGUUGAAGAGUCGACCCUGCAAACAUUCUUCGGUUCUUCGCACGAAUACUCGGGCAACACAGAUCAUGGAUACAUCUUGUUUUACGAGGGCCUUGGUGGGAAGUGUUUAGGUUGA
Molecule: ribosomal RNA, 1113 nt
Filed under: Triticum aestivum (bread wheat)
Lineage: Eukaryota; Viridiplantae; Streptophyta; Magnoliopsida; Poales; Poaceae
Description: partial small subunit ribosomal RNA
Source: RNAcentral